AUGUUUUUUUCAGGGAACUUUAGUUCACAGUGUUUACAAAGUCUGCAGUGGUGUACAGUAACAUCUCAGGCCUUCAGAUUCACUCAGCACUCACUCACCGACUCACCCAGAGCAACUUCCAGUCCUCAGGCUCCACGCAUGAUAAUGUCAGAAUUGAAUUGGAGGACCCUGAGCGGCUGUCUGCUGCAGAUUGAUUGCUUCUUUGUUGGGACACAUAGUUGCCAGCAAGAGCCCCUCCACACCCCCAACUGGGUUGCCUCCACCACUGUAGUGAAUGGCGGCUAGAACCUGCUCGCGCCCCGGCACCUGCUGGCGCUGUACCGCAGCAGCUGCUACAGGGAUGGAUCCCGCUCUUACCACACUUUGGCUGACAACAGGCUUCAGAGUAGUGAUCAGAGGUCUAGGAGCCCCUUGGCGCCCCCUAGUACAGCAGAUUUCUAACUCCAAGGAGCCAAAGAACAAUCUCGGGUCCCAAUACAAGGCCCGCAGAGUUAAGGUACAGCAGUGUAGCUAGCAGUCAGGAGCUGAGUGCAGGCACCCUAAAAAUCUUCCAGAAACGAAGCCAGUUAGCUGAAUCCACCUUAUACUACAAUCAAAUCCUCAAGCUCAUCAGAUAGGAUAAAAGGAAAAAAACCCAUCCAAAGCUCAGCAGCCCCGAAGAUUGAAGGUAGAUAAGAUGAGAAAGAAUCAGUACAAGAACCCUGGCGAUUCCGAACGCCUGAGUGCCCUUCUUCCAGACAACCACGUCACUCUUCCGGCAAAAGCUCUGAAGCAGGCUGAGAUGGCUGAAAUGACAGAACUAGAAUUCAGAAUAUGCUUAGAAAGGAAGAUCAGCGAACUAUAGGAGUGUGUUGAAACCCAAUGCAAGGAAG
Molecule: long non-coding RNA, 872 nt
Filed under: Callithrix jacchus (white-tufted-ear marmoset)
Lineage: Eukaryota; Metazoa; Chordata; Mammalia; Primates; Cebidae
Description: lncRNA (ENSCJAG00000083513.1)
Source: RNAcentral